UUUAUAAGUGAUGUGGGUUACUGGGCUGCCAUAGUGGGCUAAGCUAAAUGAAUCUUGAUUUGUGAAAUCAAAUUUAUAUAUGAUUAUAUGAGUCGUUCACUUGAACCGAAAUCAGGAUUUGUAAAACCGAAAACUGAAUAACAAUUUGGUUCGCUUUUAAACGAUUUCGGUCAGGUUCGGUUCAUUUAGUUUAAAAUCGAAUAAUGAGCACCCCUAUUUAUUUAUCUUCCGAGUAGGUCGAUUUCACGUUUUUGUUUACAUUUCAUAAAUAUUUAUUUAUAAGUCAUUCUGUGUAUCUAAACCCAACAAUAGUUAGUCUUUGCAAAACAGAACUCAAGUUAUAUCCCUAUAUAACUUCUUUUCUUGGAUUCUAAUCAUUAUUUGAUCCAGGAAAUAGUUUCAUGAGCCAAACCAUGUUUCGGGUCAACCCAACCUGACCCGUUUUGACCUACAAACAAGUACCUAUUUUGACCUGUUAAGUCUACAGACUCCCUUUUUAACAUAUUCAUCCAAAAAUAUACUAGUGUUCAUAACCAACCACAAUUUAUCCUUAAACCAUUUAGAAUUUGCAUCGAGCACAAGUAUAACAAACAACAUAGCAUCUUACGACAUAAGACAAUUUAACACAAAGAAAACAAUACUAUCAUAGUUAUCAAAGGCGCUAGGCUAACUCAAGGCGCAUAGGCCUCGCCUGGGGCGGGCCUAGGCACAAAAAAAAAGCGAGGGCCCAAGAAAAUAAAAGGCGAACAAAGAAAAAGUAAAAAUAUAUUUAUGUAUUAGAAAAAUAAUGAUUUUCUUCAAAUAAAAUAAACAAAAGCUAUUAUAUAGCAUUUAAUAUCAUCUAAUUAGUAUCAAAAGUUUUAAAUUAUAUUAGCGUAUUAGUGUUUAAGAGUAGUUUCCCUUAGAUAAAAGCAGAAAUUUGUCUGGAGUCUUUCUGGAAUCUGUGUCUAAAACAUCACCUAGAGAAUUAAACUGCAAUUGCCUCGCCUCGCCUAAAAAAUGGGCCUAGGCUCAAGAGGCGAUGGCUUUUAACAACUAUGAGUAUAACAGAUAAGUUUUAAAUGAUAUUUAAGCUAUACAUUACAUGAUACUAGAGGGGGCAAUCUUGACCCAAAGCCUUCCAUGUGGGUCAGUUUGGGUUGGUUUUAAAAUUAUAUGGGUUGGUUUGGGUAAGAUAUUUUACCUAAUUGGGUCACAAUGGGUCACUUGAAAUUCCAUCUUGUUAUUUUCGGGUCAAAGCGGGUCGACAACAUUAAAGGAAUGGGUCGAUGUGGGUUAGUGUCUUAAAGAAACGGGUCAGAGCAAAGCACUUGAUCUGUGAUGGGCAGAAUGUCAGCUUGACUAAACAAGUGCAAAAGUGAUCCUUCUCAAACCAAGUCUUUAUUCCUUUUCUUACACAAAUACAUAAUCAAAUCAAGUAACAGCCCUAUUAAUGAUCAUAUUAAAAUGUUAAGUUAAAAAGGGUUAUUCAAUCAAUUCAAGAACCAUUAGUCAGUACAUUAAGUAAUUCUAAAGCCCGAAUAGCAAAGCUAUUGGUAGAGUCUCCAUCCAAGGGAAUAGAGAGGCUGCAAGAGAACCCCGGCUCCAAAACAACAGCUACAUUGAGUAUCUUAACAGAGAACCUAAAAACAAACAGAAUCAUAGACCCUGGAAAUUCCUCUACAUACAGAUUCAUAAAUUUACACUACACUUCAACACUUACAGAUUAAGAACCUCAAAACAACAACUCACAAUCACUAAUUUCAACCAAUCAAAAUCACAUAUCUGUAGCAUUAUGCCCUAACUAGUACACCAACAAAUUUCAAUCAAAUCACAAAGUUCACAAUUCAUAACAUUAAUAAUAAUAAUACUGUAGUUCUGUGUCAUCAUAGAAAAACUCAAAGUCACAAAUUAUGACCUAAUUGCAAGUAACAAUUACAUAGGUUUUUUUUUGUAAUUUCAAUCGAAUCUAGGGUUUAGGUUUACCGGUGUGAAUACAGCGUGGUAGGAUUUGAAAUGGUGCCGGACUUAAAUUCGGCGCCGUGGCUGACUCGCCGGCGGUUACCGGUCGUCUGAUCGGAGACAGUGGUUCAGAUCCCGACGAACACUUUUGCCGGA
Molecule: long non-coding RNA, 2097 nt
Filed under: Helianthus annuus (common sunflower)
Lineage: Eukaryota; Viridiplantae; Streptophyta; Magnoliopsida; Asterales; Asteraceae
Description: hypothetical non coding rna
Source: RNAcentral